RNAcentral lists this ribosomal RNA (832 nucleotides) under uncultured archaeon. Its description in RNAcentral is "bacterial SSU rRNA". It matches the Rfam family "Archaeal small subunit ribosomal RNA", at positions 21 to 835 of the family's 1478-position model. The record is from RNAcentral.
CCCCACUGAAAUCGGGAUAGGACUAAGACAUGCUAGUCGUGUGCCUCAGCCAAUACGAGGCACGGCAUACAGCUCAGUAGCACGUGGCUAACCUGCCCUUGGGAUAGGAAUACCCCCGGGAAACUGGGGAUAAUUCUCAAUAGGUGAAGAACACUGGAAUGUGUCUCCACCAGAAAAGAGCCUGCGUUAUGCUCGUAGGUUUCGCCCAAGGAUGGGGCCGCGACCGAUCAGGUUGUUGGUGAGGUAAUGGCUCACCAAGCCUUUUACCGGUGCGGGCCGUGGGAGCGGAAGCCCGGAGAUGGGUACUGAGACAAGGACCCAGGCCCUACGGGGCGCAGCAGUCGCGAAAACUUUGCAAUACACGCAAGUGUGACAGGGCUAUCCCGAGUGCCAUCCGCUGAGGAAGGCUUUUACCCAGUCUAGAAAGCUGGGAGAAUAAGGAGAGGGCAAGUCUGGUGUCAGCCGCCGCGGUAAUACCAGCUCUCCGAGUGGUGUGGAUGUUUAUUGGGCCUAAAGCAUCCGUAGCUGGCUAGGUUAGUCCCUUGUUAAAUCCACCGAAUUAAUCGUUGGAUCGCGGGGGAUACUGCUUGGCUAGGGGACGAGAGAGGCAGACGGUAUUUUUGGGGUAGGGGUGAAAUCCUAUAAUCCCAGGAAGACCACCAGCGGCGAAGGCUGUCUGCUAGAACCCGCCCGACGGUGAGGGAUGAAAGCUGGGGGAGCGAACCGGAUUAGAUACCCGGGUAGUCCCAGCUGUAAACGAUGCAGCUAGGUGUUUGGACGGCACGUGCCGUUCUAGUGCCGCAGGGAAGCUGUUAGCCUGCCGCCUGGGGAG